CAGGAUCUUCUGGGAUUCCCCAGGGGGAGCCAGAGGACUCACACCCAUUUAACUGAUGCAGCCCUCUUCUCAGAUGGUGGACUUGCCCUCCCCGGCUCCUGGGACUCAGGCCUUCUACGAUUUCACACCACUCUGGAAGUCAUGCCAAAGACAUGCUGACUGUGAACAUCUCCUCUGACAUAUGUCACAGGGAGGUGAUCAAGUUACUGGAUGACCUGGUUAUUGGCAAAUGCACUGUUUAUGAGGAAAGCCCCUCAUAGUGGACAUCGUGUUUUAAUUUCUCGCCCAACAGGAGCAACAGCGUCAUCAUCAACUACAGCUGAGCUGGGCUGAUUGACAUGUGGAAAUUAAACAUCUGCGGGCUGCGGUGGACCACAUCAGUCACACCCAGGUAUGGAAUUAGCAAGGAACCUCUGCCCGUCAUAGUCACAUUGGGACCAAGUGUAGCAGAACAGCCAGGAUCUCGAAUGUCGUUAGUCACGGUGCCAGAAGGAAAGGAGCUCUGGAGAGAUUCCCAUCUGCAAUUGAAAGCAUCCUUUUCCAUGAAUGUGUAACACGCAUAUCCCUAUUUAGAGGGCUGGGAAGUUGAAAUUUUCAACAAAGCAAACUUGAAAAACAAAGAAGAGGAAAUGAGUAAUUAAAUUUUUUGACAAAAAAUGAUGAUAUAUUAGCAGAUAUU
Long non-coding RNA from Lepus europaeus (European hare), 679 nucleotides. RefSeq lists it as uncharacterized. The transcript has 3 exons. The record is from RefSeq and is a predicted model, not a curated record. NCBI's taxonomy places the organism in Eukaryota, Metazoa, Chordata, Mammalia, Lagomorpha, Leporidae.